UAGGGAAUCUUCCACAAUGGACGCAAGUCUGAUGGAGCAACGGCCGCGUGAGUGAAGAAGGUUUUCGGACCGUAAAGCUCUGUUGUUGGUGAAGAAGGAUAGAGGUAGUAACUGGCCUUUAUUUGACGGUAAUCAACCAGAAAGUCACGGCUAACUACGUGCCAGCAGCCGCGGUAAUACGUAGGUGGCAAGCGUUGUCCGGAUUUAUUGGGCGUAAAGCGAGCGCAGGCGGAAGAAUAAGUCUGAUGUGAAAGCCCUCGGCUUAACCGAGGAAUCGCAUCGGAAACUGUUUUCUUGAGUGCAGAAGAGGAGAGUAGAACUCCAUGUGUAGCGGUGGAAUGCGUAGAUAUAUGGAAGAAUACCAGUGGCGAAGGCGGCUCUCUGGUCUGCAACUGACGCUGAGGCUCGAAAGCAUGGGUAGCGAACAGGAUUAGAUACCCUGGUAGUCCAUGCCGUAAACGAUGAGUGCUAAGUGUUGGGAGGCUUCCGCCUCUCAGUGCUGCAGCUAACGCAUUAAGCACUCCGCCUGGGGGAGUACGACCGCAAGGUUGAAAC
RNAcentral lists this ribosomal RNA (555 nucleotides) under uncultured bacterium. RNAcentral describes it as "partial 16S ribosomal RNA". It matches the Rfam family "Bacterial small subunit ribosomal RNA", at positions 355 to 900 of the family's 1533-position model. The record is from RNAcentral.